UUUUAUUCAAGCAAGAUAAUGGUAGUAAAUAAACUCGUUCCUACUAUUAUAUCCGCUCUUAUUUAACAGUCACCUUGCAUUUAUUCCACAUUCUUUGCACCUUCUGCUCCCACACUUGAUUAAAUAGUUCAGUCACCCUGUGAAUCACAACUUCCCAUCCAUUUUUGCAAGUACGGUAUUUCACAUGGUCUUGCUGCCUUCCCAUUCUUCUGCCUUUUCACACAUUUCUCCACCUUCCUGUUGAUUCUUUCAUUCAACUCAUUAGAAUCCUUUCAUCUCCAAUAUCACACACACACUUCUCUCAUAUCUAGUACCUUGCCUGUGCCUCCAAUCUCUUCCCAAAACUCUUGUAUCAUCCUUCUUAUUUUUCCCUACCUGUCACCACUUUCCCAUUCAUCUUCAGGCUCUCCACAUUGUCAGGUUACCUAUCCCCUCACCACGCAGGAAUAUAUAUCAUUCACUACCACUUACCCUAUCUUUCUCUCAAUGACUGAAUCAAGCUUCACUCACAACUAUCCUCGUCUCUUAGCAUUCAUUAUCUUUCUCACGAUCUGCUGAUUCAUUUAACGUUGGCCGGCAUACAUUGACUGAUAACUAGAUCAGCACGGCGCCAAUAAGUGGGUCACAUCUUUGAACCAGUGACGCCUGAGAUCGCUUCCUAGAUUCUACAGUCAGAACUUUAGACAGACUAUUACACCUUUACAAGUUUACAACAGCGCUCCGGUGGUCUCCGCGUCCCUAACAAUAACAAUAUCACAAUGGACACACGGAUAAAGAAAAUUGCUGACACCGUUUCAGCAUAUCCGGACUUCCCUAAACCUGGAAUAGUAUUUCGAGAUAUAUUUCCCAUCUUAGCCAAUCCUGCCGUCUUCAGUGACCUCAUAAAUGUGAUGGUGGAGCGUGUUCAUGCAAGCUGUCCAACUCCUGAUGUAGUGGUUGGGUUAGAGUCUCGAGGUUUUCUUUUUGGCACCCCGCUGGCCUUGGCCCUGAAGGUGCCUUUUGUCCCAGUGCGCAAGAAGGGCAAGUUACCAGGAGAAGUAAAGCAAGUGUCCUUCACCUUGGAAUAUGGAACAGAUACUUUUGAAGCACAAGCUGGGAGGAUAAAAGAAGGCCAGAAUGUACUAAUAGUGGAUGAUCUCCUUGCCACUGGAGGCUCAAUGAAGGCUGCCUGUGAACUGGUAACAUCCAUGGGUGCUAAAGUGACACUGUGCCUGGUCUGCAUUGAGCUGGCCGACUUGAAAGGUCGAGAUAAGGUGAAGCAUCCUGUUGACACAAUUUUACAGUUUUAGCAACUACAUUUGAAAAUACAUUUUCAAUAUAAAUUUACACCACUUAAUUCAUUAUGGAUGUUACAUUAGCUUCACUAUGUAUAAUAGUGCUUUUAAAUCAUGACUAACAUUAUAGACAAGCAGCUUAUGAAAUGACCAUAAAUUUCAAACAUUGUAUGAGUAUAGCUUGGAAAAAGAGCCAAUGGUUCUCUACCUCGCAUGGUGUGCAUCAUCAUUUUUUGAGACAUAACCACCUUACAUGCCUCAUAGUGUCAGCAUCUCUGCACUCUUCCUGUGCUUUGCUACAUUAUUUUGUGACUGUUUGCUGUUGACUUUUUACAUUGCUAAAAUUUUGGCCCAGAUUAUAUUAUAAAGGAAGGUGUUAAAAUGACUACUACUAUUGAGACAAAGGAAGGGACUAUUGAGAAGCAUGUACUGCAUCAUUGUUGUUGUUUUCAAUUUAUGAACAUGAUAGAAUUUUAAAAUUAGAAGUAUGUUCAUGGAACAGAUCUUCUUACGGGGAAAAUUGAGUUUGACUUAUAAGUAAACUGAACCACAAUUGUGUACAAUCCAUUCCUUUACCAGGAAUGGAUUGACAAUCAAGGACUAACUACUGCACUUGGUUUUGUUGCCACAGUGAUUGCUCAUAGUUUACUCUUUGGAGCCUCACUUACUACUGCCUUGCCAUUCCAUUUUUACAUUCCAAGUGUGAUUUUGAAUGCAGUUGUAGUUUUGUGAUCCUAGUCUUGUUAUAUGUUUUGGGCAUCAAAUUUACCUAGUCUUGUUAUAUGUUUUGGGCAUCAAAUUUAAUCUUCUGGUUUUUGGGAUACAAUUAUAUUAUUGUGGUGGUUGUUUAUCUUGCUGGGCAGGAUACAGUGAUUUUUAUCUUAAUGAUUGUGUACAUUAUUGCUUUCCAUUUGUUGACAUGCUCAAAUAACUAUUCUUAAGAUAAGCUGGGAUACUAUUCAUAUGCUAAUGAGCUAGGACAACUGGUCUCGGGUAAUUGCCCCCAGACAACAGUCACCAGGACAAUUGCCGCCUAGACUAUUGCUGCCUUAAUACUUCCAAAUGUAAGAUUUGUACAUUGCACACAAUAGUGAUAUCAGAGUUUUAUAAACAGGGUUAUUAAAAUGAUAAGAUGUGACAAAUACUGGUUAGGAAAUCCAAUACUUUUUUUAUUGUAAUUUCUUACUAGGUUUAUUAUCCUCGGCAAAAGAUCGACACAAUUUCUUUUUGGUGGUUCCUGAUCACUCUUAACAUGAUUGAUAAUGACCUCAUUUAGAGUUUCUUACUUUAUUUAAUAUUAGGAGAAACUUCUAAAUGUUUGGAUGAAAUGUGAUGUAUUUAAUAUUAGGAGAAACUUCUAAAUGUUUGGAUGAAAUGUGAUGAUGUUGGACUGUAGGUGAUUAUGCCAUUCUUCCAAGAGUUGUUCAUACAAGGCAAAUCCUCUAAGACGCAUCAUACCUGAUACACAUGCUGGUGGGGGAACCAUGGGAGAUCUUCCAUUCUGGAGUACUCUUCACUCAAACACAUCCUCAAAAUAUGUAGUUAAUAUAAUAGUCAGCUUCAGAGGGAGAUGAUCCUGCAGUAGUUUAAUUAAAUACAUUAUUGAUAAUCUUGCGUGGGACAGAGGCCAGAGCAGGGAUCAUCUGUAUCUGCAAGCUAAAGUUUUCAUUUGUUUGGUUCAGCUUUUAUAAGGCCGUCCUUAAUUUUCACUCUUCUAGAAAUAGUCUGCUACAGUUGAUAAAAAAGCUUCAGGGGGAUGGGGUUGGAGGAGGACCUGUUGUCCUAAAGGGUCAAUUGUCUGGAGGCAAUUGUCCAAGGGCAGUUGUCUGAAGGACAGUUGUCCUGACACUUUUGUUAAUGCUUUAGUGACCUGUAUAUUGGUUUGUUGAACUAAGUAGACUUAUACAUUUUAUUAUCCAACAUUAAUAAAAUACAAUAGAAGUGUGUAAAUGCAUAUUCUAUACAUAAAAAUAUUCCAUACAUAA
RNAcentral lists this unclassified non-coding RNA (3259 nucleotides) under Portunus trituberculatus (swimming crab). RNAcentral describes it as "adenine phosphoribosyltransferase 1-like, transcript variant X2". The record is from RNAcentral. Lineage: Eukaryota; Metazoa; Arthropoda; Malacostraca; Decapoda; Portunidae.